Molecule: microRNA precursor, 93 nt
Filed under: Ficedula albicollis (Collared flycatcher)
Lineage: Eukaryota; Metazoa; Chordata; Aves; Passeriformes; Muscicapidae
Description: mir-1467 microRNA precursor family
Rfam family: mir-1467 microRNA precursor family
Source: Rfam by way of RNAcentral
CAGGGCAGGUUUUUUUUCUCAGCUACAUCGGUGUAAAUCCAGAGCAAUCCACUGAGAUUCACACCAGAGUAACUGAGAGCAGAAUCUGGCCAU